CAGUCGCCGCGGGAAUACGGAGGGCGCAAGCGUUAAUCGGAAUUACUGGGCGUAAAGCGCACGCAGGCGGUUUGUUAAGUCAGAUGUGAAAUCCCCGAGCUUAACUUGGGAACUGCAUUUGAAACUGGCAAGCUAGAGUCUUGUAGAGGGGGGUAGAAUUCCAGGUGUAGCGGUGAAAUGCGUAGAGAUCUGGAGGAAUACCGGUGGCGAAGGCGGCCCCCUGGACAAAGACUGACGCUCAGGCACGAAAGCGUGGGGAGCAAACAGGAUUAGAGACCCGAGUAGUCCCUGUCUCUUAUAC
Molecule: ribosomal RNA, 301 nt
Filed under: uncultured bacterium
Lineage: Bacteria
Description: partial 16S ribosomal RNA
Rfam family: Bacterial small subunit ribosomal RNA
Source: RNAcentral